UACUUAGGUCCCGAGCGUUGUCCGGAUUUAUUGGGCGUAAAGCGAGCGCAGGUGGUUUAUUAAGUCUGGUGUAAAAGGCAGUGGCUCAACCAUUGUAUGCAUUGGAAACUGGUAGACUUGAGUGCAGGAGAGGAGAGUGGAAUUCCAUGUGUAGCGGUGAAAUGCGUAGAUAUAUGGAGGAACACCGGUGGCGAAAGCGGCUCUCUGGCCUGUAACUGACACUGAGGCUCGAAAGCGUGGGGAGCAAACAGG
This 252-nucleotide ribosomal RNA is filed under the name uncultured bacterium. RNAcentral's name for it is "partial 16S ribosomal RNA". It matches the Rfam family "Bacterial small subunit ribosomal RNA", at positions 524 to 776 of the family's 1533-position model. The record is from RNAcentral.